GAUGAAGAACGUAGCGAAAUGCGACAAGUAAUGUGAAUUGCAGAAUUCCGUGAAUCAUCGAAUCUUUGAACGCACAUUGCGCCCGCUAGUAUUCUGGCGGGCAUGCCUGUCCGAGCGUCAUUUCAACCCUCAAGCCCCCGGGCUUGGUGUUGGGGAUCGGCGAGCCUCCGCGCCCGCCGUCCCCUAAAUCUAGUGGCGGUCUCGCUGUAGCUUCCUCUGCGUAGUAGCACACCUCGCACUGGGAAACAGCGCGGCCACGCCGUUAAACCCCCAACUUCUGAACGUUUGACCUCGGAUCAGGUAGGAAUACCCGCUGAACUUAAGCAUAUCAAUAAGCGGAGGA
Molecule: unclassified non-coding RNA, 343 nt
Filed under: soil metagenome
Description: partial contains 5.8S ribosomal RNA, internal transcribed spacer 2, and large subunit ribosomal RNA
Rfam family: 5.8S ribosomal RNA (bases 1-120)
Source: RNAcentral